Suncus etruscus (white-toothed pygmy shrew) is the source of this 138-nucleotide small nucleolar RNA. RefSeq annotates it as small nucleolar RNA SNORA48. The transcript has a single exon. NCBI's taxonomy places the organism in Eukaryota, Metazoa, Chordata, Mammalia, Eulipotyphla, Soricidae. The record is from RefSeq and is a predicted model, not a curated record.
CACCCCUGGCAAUGGGCAAAGAGACACCUCAUUGGUGAUGUUACUCAUAUCAGUCAAGGGCAAAGCAAUGGUCCUUUGUUCAUCCGAGCUUGAUGCCUGGAUUGGUGGCCAGAGCUGUUUCAUGCUUGGGGCACAUAA